This 219-nucleotide ribosomal RNA is filed under the name Campeiostachys nutans. RNAcentral describes it as "Elymus nutans partial small subunit ribosomal RNA". The stretch from base 47 to 219 matches the Rfam family "Eukaryotic small subunit ribosomal RNA", at positions 692 to 864 of the family's 1831-position model. The record is from RNAcentral. Lineage: Eukaryota; Viridiplantae; Streptophyta; Magnoliopsida; Poales; Poaceae.
GGGUCUACCCAUUGGUCAGGCUUAAUUGUCUGUACUGGUGAGAUGGAUCUCUACCUUCUGAGGAACUUUCAUGCCAUUUAAUUGGUGUGGUUGGAAAUCAGGACUGUUACUUUGAAAAAAUUAGAGUGUUUAAAGCAGACUAUCGUCUGAAUACAUUAGCAUGGAAUAAUGAAAUAGGACGGACUGAUUCUAUUUCGUUGGUUUCGCUUGGCUGAAGUA